RNAcentral lists this long non-coding RNA (225 nucleotides) under Capra hircus (goat). RNAcentral's name for it is "lncRNA (ENSCHIG00000004608.1)". The record is from RNAcentral. Lineage: Eukaryota; Metazoa; Chordata; Mammalia; Artiodactyla; Bovidae.
GGUGAGGGGCUGUCUGGCCUCGCACUGUCCUCCAAGGAAGCUCCUUUUCUGUGGCUGUUUAGUGGCGUGGAUGCCUGGCUUCUUGGCCAAGUCCAAGGAUCUCAGUGAGCACUGCCCAUACAAGGCUCCCUUGGGCUGAGGGAUUCGUUAUGGAUCCGACAGGAAGACAAGACUGGAUAAGAGCGAACAGCUUCCUAAAGAGACUCAGACAUUUUAUAGCACUGG